RNAcentral lists this ribosomal RNA (497 nucleotides) under uncultured bacterium. Its description in RNAcentral is "bacterial SSU rRNA". It matches the Rfam family "Bacterial small subunit ribosomal RNA", at positions 21 to 507 of the family's 1533-position model. The record is from RNAcentral.
GGCUCAGAGUGAACGCUGGCGGCAUGCCUAACACAUGCAAGUCGAACGGCAGCACAGCAGUAGCAAUACUGUGGGUGGCGAGUGGCGGACGGGUGAGGAACACAUCGGAAUUUGCCCAGUCGUGGGGGAUAACGUAGGGAAACUUACGCUAAUACCGCAUACGACCUUACGGUGAAAGCGGGGGAUCGCAAGACCUCGCGCGGAUGGAUGAGCCGAUGUCGGAUUAGCUAGUUGGUGGGGUAAAGGCCUACCAAGGCGACGAUCCGUAGCUGGUCUGAGAGGAUGAUCAGCCACACUGGGACUGAGACACGGCCCAGACUCCUACGGGAGGCAGCAGUGGGGAAUAUUGGACAAUGGGGGCAGCCCUGAUCCAGCAAUGCCGCGUGUGUGAAGAAGGCCUUCGGGUUGUAAAGCACUUUUAUCCGGAACGAAACGUGCGGGGUGAAUAGCCUCGUAAACUGACGGUACCGGAGGAAUAAGCACCGGCUAACUUCGUG